RNAcentral lists this long non-coding RNA (2009 nucleotides) under Paramuricea clavata. Lineage: Eukaryota; Metazoa; Cnidaria; Anthozoa; Malacalcyonacea; Plexauridae. The record is from RNAcentral.
AUGGAAUGUUAUCACAAGAGAUACGAAAAAACUUGGUUAUGAUUGCGAACCAGCAAGCGUUGCAAUUCCUUCGCUGUAUAAUCCUACGACUGCUGCCACCUCGGUACGUUCCGCAGAUGAUGGCGAGAAUGGAUCUAUGUUGAAAGAAAGUCAAACCGCGAUAGAGUGAGAAUGAUCCAGUGGAACUGAAAAGGUCCCGUUGAUUAGUAGUGAGUUUGGCAAACGCAACGGCGCGUCAAUGAAGACGUGAAUCGUUAUCGUCAACACUAGAAUUUUACAAGACAAAGACAACUAUAAAUUAUAUUCCCUUGAUAAUUGUAGUUACGUCAUAGAUCCCCAAACUGCUACAUUAUUUACAUAUCAUUUUCACGCCUCAUAACCACGCCAAAAUGUCGAUGAACGACUAAGAUUCAUUGACACUGGCCUUUCACGAAAUCUGCCCCCCCUUGCCUUAACAUCGUUCCGGCGUCCCUGGGCACUGGUAUUUUCAUUUUAUAAAUGGAAAGCCUAAUUGAUCCCAUUCAGAAACUUUUAAUACUGCUGUCGUGAAAUUUUGCAUCAAGAUAGAUCCAGAUCGUCGCUAUUGGGCCUGAAAUUUUGGUGAGCGUAGCGUUCUUGCUGAGAUAUAAGAGUUUAGUUUUAGUCACUGGAAUACAUGUACAAUUUUCACAAUAUUUAGACCGUUCAAAAUCGAAAAGCGGAAUUGAUCCCGUUCAGCAACUGUUAAAACUUCUGUCAUGAAAUUGUGCAUUUAGAUAUUUCCAGACUGUCGCUUUUGACCUGAAAUUUUGGUGAGCGUAGCGUUCAAUCUCGGUGAGAUAUAAGAGCUUCGUUUUGGUUUUUUGAGUUUUGAACGAUUUCAAUAUUGUAAAAAUUGUACAUGUAUUCCCGCCACCAAAAUUAAUAUCUUAUAUCUCAGCGACUUUGAAAGACGCCUUCACCAAACUUUCAGGCCAAAUAGGCGAGGACCUGCACCUAUUGCCAUGUAAAAUUUCAUGACAGCAAUAUUAAUAGUUUCUGAAUGGGACCACUCUGCUUUUCGAUUUUGAACGAACUAAAUGUUGUGAAAAUUUUACAUAUUUUCCAGCGACCAAAAUUAAGCUCUUAUAUCUCAGCAACUUUCAAUGCCACCUUCACAAAACUUUCAGGCCAAAUAGCGAGGACCUGCAGCUAUCGCCAUGCAUGCAAAAUGUAAUAACAGCAAUGUUAAUAGUUUCUGAAUGGGAUCAAUACUAGAUUCCCCUUAUUACGUUUUCGAAGCACUUUGCAUUGUGGUUAUAGUGGUAUAACUGAUAAAGAUAGCGGCCUCGAAUGAAAAUAUUGAAUGUAUUCGCGAAUAUUUUGCUGUUGGCUAUCGCGCACCUGACCCUAGCUUUUUUAAAAGUUCUUGCACGGGUCAGGACAAAAAAUAAGCCAUCUUGAAUAUCAGUGAUACCACUAUAACCACAAUGCAAAGCACUACGAAAACGUAAUAAGGGGAAUUGUCAAAUCUGCUUUUCGAUUUUGAACGAUCUAAAUAUUGUGAAAAUUGCACAUGUAUUCCCGUGACAAAAUUAAGCUCUUAUAUUAUCUCAGCGACUUUGAAUGCCACUUUCUAUCUAUCUUCUAUCUUCCAAUACAGCAAACCCCUCAGUAUGAGGAUUAUUAGCUGGGGUCAGCAGAAUAUACAUGUUGCUAACCCAAAGGAAAAGUUAAUAAUAAUAAACUAUUUAAAGUUAAGAUAAUAGAAAGUUAAAUAAUAGAAAAACUAUAAAAAAAACCUAGAGCGGUUCCGAGAUCGGGAGCUUCGCCAGAAUACCCGAUCGCCACGUAGGCACAGUCUCCAAGGGAAAUUGGAAUUUCUCUGCUAACAUGUGCGUUAUUGACGAUCAAACCCCUAAACAGAGCCCUCGAUCCCCAGGCUCGGCUGAGGGUCGCAAUAACACACUAAACAUUGCUAGAAUGAGACAGUGGUGAAAUACGCUGACGAAGUGUGUCAGUUGUGUUGCAAUUUGUAAAAAUGUUUGAAG